Molecule: ribosomal RNA, 542 nt
Filed under: Bifidobacterium dentium
Lineage: Bacteria; Bacillati; Actinomycetota; Actinomycetes; Bifidobacteriales; Bifidobacteriaceae
Description: bacterial SSU rRNA
Rfam family: Bacterial small subunit ribosomal RNA
Source: RNAcentral
GUGGUAAUGCCGGAUGCUCCGGUUGGAUGCAUGUCCUUCCGGGAAAGAUUCCAUCGGUAUGGGAUGGGGUCGCGUCCUAUCAGCUUGAUGGCGGGGUAACGGCCCACCAUGGCUUCGACGGGUAGCCGGCCUGAGAGGGCGACCGGCCACAUUGGGACUGAGAUACGGCCCAGACUCCUACGGGAGGCAGCAGUGGGGAAUAUUGCACAAUGGGCGCAAGCCUGAUGCAGCGACGCCGCGUGCGGGAUGGAGGCCUUCGGGUUGUAAACCGCUUUUGAUCGGGAGCAAGCCCUUCGGGGUGAGUGUACCCUUCGAAUAAGCACCGGCUAACUACGUGCCAGCAGCCGCGGUAAUACGUAGGGUGCAAGCGUUAUCCGGAAUUAUUGGGCGUAAAGGGCUCGUAGGCGGUUCGUCGCGUCCGGUGUGAAAGCCCAUCGCUUAACGGUGGGUCUGCGCCGGGUACGGGCGGGCUGGAGUGCGGUAGGGGAGACUGGAAUUCCCGGUGUAACGGUGGAAUGUGUAGAUAUCGGAAAAGAACACCA